GACUUCGUAGCUCAGCUGGUAGAGCAAUUGACUCUUAAUCAAUGGGUCGAGGGUUCGAAUCCCUCCGAGGUCA
This 73-nucleotide transfer RNA is filed under the name Porphyromonas sp. Its description in RNAcentral is "tRNA-Lys". It matches the Rfam family "tRNA". From Rfam's summary of the family: Transfer RNA (tRNA) molecules are approximately 80 nucleotides in length. Their secondary structure includes four short double-helical elements and three loops (D, anti-codon, and T loops). Further hydrogen bonds mediate the characteristic L-shaped molecular structure. tRNAs have two regions of fundamental functional importance: the anti-codon, which is responsible for specific mRNA codon recognition, and the 3' end, to which the tRNAs corresponding amino acid is attached (by aminoacyl-tRNA synthetases). tRNAs cope with the degeneracy of the genetic code in two manners: having more than one tRNA (with a specific anti-codon) for a particular amino acid; and 'wobble' base-pairing, i.e. permitting non-standard base-pairing at the 3rd anti-codon position. The record is from RNAcentral. Lineage: Bacteria; Pseudomonadati; Bacteroidota; Bacteroidia; Bacteroidales; Porphyromonadaceae. RNAcentral also lists the same sequence under 3 other names.